CCUACGGGAGGCAGCAGUGGGGAAUUGUUCGCAAUGGGCGCAAGCCUGACGACGCAACGCCGCGUGGAGGAUGAAGAUCUUCGGGUCGUAAACUCCUUUCGACCGAGAUGCAGUAUCGAGGGAAGAAGCCCCGGCUAACUCUGUGCCAGCAGCCGCGGUAAUACAGGGGGGGCAAGCGUUGUUCGGAAUUACUGGGCGUAAAGGGUUUGUAGGGGCUUCCUCAGUCAGACGUGAAAUCCCUCAGCUUAACUGGGGAACUGCGUCUGAUACUAGCGAGCUUGAGUGCAGGAGAGGAACGCGGAAUUCCAGGUGUAGCGGUGAAAUGCGUAGAUAUCUGGAGGAACACCGGUGGCGAAGGCGGCGUUCUGGACUGCACUGACACUGAAAAACGAAAGCCAGGGAGAACGGGAUUAGAUACCCUUGUAGUC
RNAcentral lists this ribosomal RNA (428 nucleotides) under uncultured bacterium. RNAcentral's name for it is "partial 16S ribosomal RNA". It matches the Rfam family "Bacterial small subunit ribosomal RNA", at positions 338 to 795 of the family's 1533-position model. The record is from RNAcentral.